GCUGCUCCUUCGUACCCUAGCUUCUGGCUAUAAAAGGCUCAUCUCCUCCCAUGUACAGGAGGGAGAGGCGCACACGGGUUGGCCGCCGCCAGGCUGCUCGCAUGCAUGGAGACCUGAACAUGCAACUCCCGCAUAGUCCCUGAUGGUGAAGCCCUACUAUCCUUACCCUGCUAAUCACCAAAAUCUCGUAGUAUACGUUGCCUCCCGGCGGCCGCGUCGACACGGCCAUGUGCUCUAAUGGUGGUUGCCUCAAGUUAAAAGAUCGGUUUACACCGAAUCCAUUUGUUGCCUCGGGUUGUUUUAGAUUGGUUUACCAAUCCAGUCGUGGCAUGUAAUAAAUAUUUGAUAGGCAGAUCAACCAGUGCAUGGUUUGGAUUCGGAUCGCUUCCAUAACAGAUCGUUUCCGUAUAAAAAUAUUUGGAGGCAAAUUGCUGGUGCUGGAUUUGGAUUCGGAUCGCUUUCAUAGUUGAUCGUUUCUGUACAGAAAUGUUUGAGAAGAAAUAUUUGGUUUCGGAUCGCCCUAGUGCUGAUCGUUUCCACGUAGAAGUAUUUGAGGAGCUUGAGUCAGAUUCGGAUCGCCAUUGCAGAUUGUUUUCCUUUUAGAAAAUUUUGUGAGGAAAAUCA
Long non-coding RNA from Triticum aestivum (bread wheat), 624 nucleotides. RefSeq lists it as uncharacterized. The record is from RefSeq and is a predicted model, not a curated record. The transcript has 2 exons. Lineage: Eukaryota; Viridiplantae; Streptophyta; Magnoliopsida; Poales; Poaceae.